This 2288-nucleotide long non-coding RNA is filed under the name Gossypium barbadense (sea-island cotton). RNAcentral describes it as "long non-coding RNA (GBAR_LNC022467)". The record is from RNAcentral. Lineage: Eukaryota; Viridiplantae; Streptophyta; Magnoliopsida; Malvales; Malvaceae.
CAAAUGUGAGUAGGAGUGGGCCUCAAAUUUCACAUCUACUCUUUGCAGAUGAUUGCGUUCUUUUUGGAGAGGCUUCAAAGAGGGAUGUACAUGUCAUUAAACGGAUUUUGGAAUGAAGUAUGUUCGGGACAAUGUGUGAAUUUUGGAAAAUCUACGAUUUUUUAUAGUGCAAAUACUUCUGAUAUGGUUAGGGUGCAACUAUCAACGGAAUUGGGAGUUCGAUGCUCAAAUAACCUAGAGAGAUACCUAGGCCUUCCUAAUGUGGUGGGUAGAAAUAAAAAGGCUUCGUUUUAGGUUUUGAAGGAUUGGAUGAAAAGGAAAAUUGAUGGGUGGAGUACGAGAUUUCUCUCACAAUGGGGCAAGGAGAUAUUUAUAAAGUCAAUACUUCAAGCCAUACCGGUGUAUUCUAUGGCCCGUUUCUUAUUGCCAAAAUUUUUAUGUGGGGAAAUGGAAAUUAUUGUGGCAGGAUUUUUAUGGCAAAAGGGUCAUGGACGUAGGGGUAUUCACUAGUGUGAAUGGGGAAGAAUGUAUGAUUUGAAAAAGGAAGGGGUUUGGGUUUCAGAAGUUUUAAGAAAUUUAAUGUGGCUCUCUUAGACAAACAAGGAUGGAGACUUAUUAAUUAUCUCAAUUCUUUAAUUGCUCGAGUUUUGAAAGCCAAAUGUUACCCUCGAUCUGAUUUUUUCAUUGUUAGCUUAAGACAUGGGGUGUCAUAUACUUGGAGAAGUAUCUGGUCAGUGAAGAAGUUGUUGUGUGAUGGGACCGGAUGGAGAGUGGGUACGAGAGAUGGGAUUUCAAUUAUUAAUCAUGCAUGGAUUCCAGGUUCAGAUGAUUAUAAAUUAAGCAAUGGGGUUGAAAAUAAAGAAAGGAGGAGGGAGCCUAUUUUGGAUACCUUUUCGAGUAUUGAUGUAGGUAGAAUACUAAGCAUUCCUUUGGCUAGUAUUCCUCAUGAGGAUGUGAUGGUGUGGAGAGGCGAGCCUUUAGGGGACUUUUCUAUACGAAGCACCUAAAAACUGGUAUUUCUACCCCUACUUUUAAUGAGAUAUAGACCAAUGCUAGAGAUUUCUAUAGAAAGCUACGGGGCCUAAAGCUUCGACUAAAAUUAAAAUUUCAAUAUGGCAAAUUUAGAAGAAUUAUAUUCGUACUUUAAAAAAUUUGCAUUUUAUGCGACUUGUUUCAAGUCUGAUAUGCCCAAGAUGUGGUAAUGCUGUUGAAAAUUUAGACCAUGUCUUUCGUGGUUGCCCUGUUACAAUUUAAGUUUGGAUGUUAUUAGGGUUUCAUGGAAUUAUGUCAAAUUUUGACCAGGGAUUUUUUGAAUGGUAUACCUGGGUCUUUAGAGAAUGUUCGAUUACCCAAAAUCGAGUAUUUUGUGUUACACUAUGAAGCCCGUAGCCAGAUAGAAACAAGAAGGUGCACGAAAAAAUUAGUAAAACAGGUAGGGCGAUUGCCACUUCUAUAUUUUGUUACAUAAAAGAAUUGGAGAUUGAAGAGGUAAGGGAAGUAACCAGACAAGGUAAGGAAAGAAAAUGGGAACCUCCUGUAGGGGCGAGAAUUAAAAUAAACUUUGACGCGGCCUUUGAUGAAUUGCAUUCUAGAUUGGGAUCGGGAAUCGUUGCUAGGAGUGCUUUGGGUACAGUUUUGGUAUCUCGAUCGAUUCUGCAUGUAGAGGUUGGAACGGUUUUUGCAGCUGAGGCCUUCUCGUGUUCAUGGGCAAUACAAAUGGGCUUAGAAAUGGGGUUAACGGAAGCAACAAGUUAUACACGAUAGAUCUAAUAUAAGCGCCUAUAUUCGAAACAGCUAACAGAAGAUGAACAGUUUUACUUUUAUUCGGCUUAAACAUGCAAGUUAUUUUGAAAAUCAGUUAGCCUAUUUUUUAGCAAAGGAGAGUCUGAGAUCUGGUGAAGGCUUUUACCUGGAAGAUGUUGUCCCGAGUUAUGCGAUGAGGACGAUGAAAGCUGAACGGGUGUGAGAGCCGGAUUGAGGAGGAUCGGAAGCAAGUUUUCCAGCCCCGGUGAAAGGAAAGAAAGGAUGAGAACUCUUUUCUUGUGUUUUUUUGGAUAUCUGCAAAAUCGGGUUUGGAAAAGGAAACUUCUUGGAAAUGAAACCGUCCGAUUUUGAAAUGAUGAGGGGAUAAGGCCGGUUUUACUUUUCCUAUUUGGCUGGGCUAGGUAGUUUAUUUUUUAAUUGCUUGUUUUGGUUCUAUGUUUCAUUUCUGGUUUUGGGCUCGGUGGGGUCGUGCCAGAUCAUUUCCAUUGUGUUAUCAUUUUUCUUCUUUUAAUAACAAAUCCUGG